AGACAUAUGGACUUUUCCUCUCUAUCUCACAGGAAGCCCCUGGGGGCUAGGAUUCAGGACACUAGGGUCUGUGUUAAUGCCUUCCUGACUAACAAUUUGUUUUUGAGUCACUUUCCUGGCCCAAUUCCCAAUUUCCUCACCACUGAAGAGAAGAUUAUCCCAUCUCCCAGCUCCAGAUCAGUCUCAAGGUUGGGGGAACACCACUGAGGAGAAAAAAUGGUAAAAGACUAAGAAGCAGGUGCCCUGGAGUCAACAAACCUAGUGUGAUUGCCCAGAUGAGUGUUUGGGAGAAAGGGAGCCAGAAGGAACUAAUCUUUGAGCUACAUGAAUGGGUAGCGAUGAAUUCUGGUUUCUGUAGGACUGUAUUUACGGAGAGAUCAGACAUCAACAGAGUCAAAUGCAACCGGCCACAGGGAAGAUAGCGAAGGGAGCUUUGGAAAUCCAUCCUUGGGGUGAUGGGAAUCCCCAUUGGCUGGGUGAGUGGGGUGUCUGGGGGCUCUGAAAAUUUAAGACUUUAGAUAACAAGGAUAGAAAGAAAAAGGGAAAAUAAAAUGCCCUUUGUAACAGACCCAUGUUUUGUCUGUUAAAUAUACUUGCACCUUUAAAAAAACAUAAGCAGCAUGAAAGACAGCAUGGCCCAGUGGAAAGACAAUGGUCCUGGAUCACCCAACUUCUAGAUCACCCAGAAGAGGCAGUUGGCCAUUUUAGGAGGGGUCAGGGAGGCUGAUGACAGGGUCUGCAGGAGGAAAGGAAGCUGCAGAGUUGGAUUUGUCCCAGAUCACUGAUUUCCAUUUGGAACUCAGCACUCAAAAAACCCUUGUAAAGUAUCCUGGGUCUAUUUUGUGUAAAGGGUUCAGGCACCGUGCCCUCCAGCGCACAUUUUAUAUUAAAGUGUUUGGUUCCGGCACCAAGCUCGUCGUAAGUGAGGGUGACCCAAAAGUACCCAAGCCAAUCAUGUUUCGUCCUCCAUCUGAGCUGGAAACAAAAAGUGAAGGAAUAUACAUUUGCCUCCUGAAGGAUUUUUACCCCGAAGUUGUCACAAUGAAAUGGAAGGAAAAGGAGAGCACUACUCCUCUGUCCUCCUACCAGAGUGCCAUAGAAAAGAUGAAUGAAGACAAAAAACGAUUUUGGACGUUCAGCUGGAUGAUGAUUGAUAAAACAUCACAGAAAAAGGGGCAUGAAUUUGUAUUCAGUCACGAGUCAAGUAAAGGGGAAACUACUGUAGAAUUUCCAGCAUUCAGCUCAGUUAAGCAAGAUGUGCAGUUCAUGAACACGUCCGCCUUUUACACCUACACCAUCCUUCUGUUCAAGAGCACCAUGUAUUGUGUCUUCAUGCUGUUCUUCACAUACAAAAAGGCCACGAGCAGCGGCAAGGGGAGAAGAUCAGCCCGAUGACAUCUCCGGAGAAACGUGCGGAGGCCGACAGGAUUUUCCAGGGCCACACGCACGGCUUCUCUCCGGACCUGCACAGGAGAAGCAGAGCGGCACUUGGAUGUUGAUAUGUGUUAUUUCUUUGUAAUCACUGGGCAGAAGUUUAUUUUAUCAUUUUAUUUUUAAACUGUAACAAACCCUCUUUCACUGAUAUGUUGUUUUAUUUUAUUUUCUGGGCUUAUUUUAGACUUUUCACUUGAAUAAUCAUCAAUCUAUCUGUUCACAUAAAUAAAAGCCCUACACCCACCUGA
Molecule: non-coding RNA, 1682 nt
Organism: Ornithorhynchus anatinus (platypus)
Lineage: Eukaryota; Metazoa; Chordata; Mammalia; Monotremata; Ornithorhynchidae
Source: the annotation of a RefSeq genome assembly